RNAcentral lists this ribosomal RNA (274 nucleotides) under uncultured bacterium. Its description in RNAcentral is "partial 16S ribosomal RNA". It matches the Rfam family "Bacterial small subunit ribosomal RNA", at positions 523 to 796 of the family's 1533-position model. The record is from RNAcentral.
AUACGGAGGGGGUUAGCGUUGUUCGGAAUUACUGGGCGUAAAGCGCACGUAGGCGGACUGAUCAGUUGGGGGUGAAAUCCCAGGGCUCAACCCUGGACCUGCCUCCAAUACUGUCAGUCUUGAGAUCGGAAGAGGUGAGUGGAAUUCCUAGUGUAGAGGUGAAAUUCGUAGAUAUUAGGAGGAACACCAGUGGCGAAGGCGGCUCACUGGUCCGAUACUGACGCUGAGGUGCGAAAGCGUGGGGAGCAAACAGGAUUAGAAACCCUUGUAGUCC